GGCCCGGUGGCGGAUGGUUCCGCGCACGCACUCAAUGCCGAAGUAAUAGAUAGGGUUUUGUGGGAGGCGCUCGUUCGAUUCGAGCCCGGGUCA
Molecule: non-coding RNA, 93 nt
Organism: Mycena epipterygia
Lineage: Eukaryota; Fungi; Basidiomycota; Agaricomycetes; Agaricales; Mycenaceae
Source: the annotation of a GenBank genome assembly